Molecule: long non-coding RNA, 1424 nt
Organism: Carya illinoinensis
Lineage: Eukaryota; Viridiplantae; Streptophyta; Magnoliopsida; Fagales; Juglandaceae
Exons: 2
Source: RefSeq, a predicted model, not a curated record
CCUCGGAACCCAAGGCCCGUCUCCUCGCUCUCUCUCUAGCAUGCUCUAGUUUUCCACUUCCUCUAACCUUUUGCAAAGCACUGCAGCGUUAUCAACAAUUAUAUAUAUUUUACCAUUGAUGAGUCCGAUCUCAUUUUUUGUUUUGCAGUUGUUUGUUUAAUUUGUUGGAGAUCCAAUAGUGAAACCUUUCUCGAGAAACACCAAACUUGAGAACCAUUCUGAGGAACCACUGAAGGUUGUUGUGGAAGUGGAAUAUGGCGACUUUCCAGGCAAAGUACUUCUAACAAUCCCACCGGGUGAGCACAAUUACAUGCGCUACGCCGAUUUGAGGAUUGAAUACAAUGGUGGUCGUCUAGUAAAAGUGCAUUUUUACUUCGGAGAUCGGCAGACGGAACCGAUAUCGACAUCGCAGAUAAGGGAUCAUGCGAAAAUCAGAUUCUUUAAACGCGAGGAUGGAGCCAUCGCCUACAAUCUUAUCGAAGGGAGUAUGAUCCAGAUGAACGGGAUAGUUAUCUCGAUGAAAGGCACGGUGAAAAAGAUCAAGUCACUACUGAUGUAGUGUUAGGGACCUCACCAAUGGCACGAUGGAGGCCGGCGAGGGAGCUCUAGAAGAUCUGGGUUGCUGCGAAGAGAAGGAAACCUGGUAAGGGAUCGAACUGAAGUGAAGUGAUCUGGAAGUGAAGCCUUGUGAAACUAGCCACGACGUCAUUGAGAGUUCAAGGGACAGAACGCACCGUUUGAAGACGCUUGAGUAGCGUUUGAAGACGCUGGAGUAGCUUGAAGACCUGCGAAUUAAACACUACGUUUCAUUUAUAUGAAAAAUUUGGGUGCUGUGACCCUUCCUUUGAGAGUAGAGCUAGAAACGGUCGGGUGUCUAACUCAUAUUCACACCGGCCAAUAGGAACACAGCAUGUGACAGGUGUAUUUGUCUUACACACAUCUUAUUGUAAAAAACCUUGAGAUUUUCCCUUGUCGCUCCUGAUUCUUCCUAUCUUUUGAUUAUCCUCUCCCCGAUUCUACCUCUCUUUUUUCGUUCUGCUUUUCUAUUUUUUUUUCCUGCUUUUCUGUUUCUUUUUUUUUUUCUUCUUUUUCAUUCGGUUCUUCCGAUUCCACACGUUUAAAGAUCUAAUCCAUUUUCUGGACCAUCAAAAUCUUAUACAUUUUCUAGACCCUUCCGAUUCUACCUCUCUUUUUUCGUUCUGCUUUUCUGUUUCUUCUUUUUUGUUCUUUUUCAUUCGGUUCUUCCGAUUCCACACGUUUAAAGAUCUAAUCCAUUUUCUGGACAAUCAAAAUCUUAUACAUUUUCUAGACCCUUCCGAGUCCCUCCUCCAUUGAAACACAUACGUACGAUGCAUAAUUUGUUCAAAAGUCUUAUAAUUGUCAAAAUGUCUUAUAAUUGUCAUUUUCUUUAAUUAGAUAAUUGA